RNAcentral lists this ribosomal RNA (386 nucleotides) under Telonemia sp. RNAcentral describes it as "partial small subunit ribosomal RNA". It matches the Rfam family "Eukaryotic small subunit ribosomal RNA", at positions 582 to 975 of the family's 1831-position model. The record is from RNAcentral. Lineage: Eukaryota; Telonemia.
AUUCCAGCUCCAAUAGCGUAUAUUAAAGUUGUUGCAGUUAAAAAGCUCGUAGUUGGAUUUCAGAGUGAGCUCGUCCGGUCGGCCUAAAUGGUCUGAACUGGUUGACUCUCUCUUGCUUGUGGAUCCCGCCCGGAGUUAACUCUUCGGAUGUGGACUUCACAUCGUUUACCUUGAAAAAAUUAGAGUGUUCAAAGCAGGCGUAUGCUUGAAUAUAUUAGCAUGGAAUAAUGGAAUAGGACCCUGGUUCUAUUUUGUUGGUUUUGAGGACCAGAGUAAUGAUUAAUAGGGAUAGUUGGGGGCAUUCAUAUUUCAUUGUCAGAGGUGAAAUUCUUGGAUUUACGAAAGAUGAACUUCUGCGAAAGCAUUUGCCAAGGAUGUUUUCAUUU